Molecule: transfer RNA, 90 nt
Filed under: Terriglobia bacterium
Lineage: Bacteria; Pseudomonadati; Acidobacteriota; Terriglobia
Description: tRNA-Ser
Rfam family: tRNA
About the family: Transfer RNA (tRNA) molecules are approximately 80 nucleotides in length.
Source: RNAcentral
GGAGAGGUGUCCGAGUGGCUGAAGGAGCACGCUUGGAAAGCGUGUGGCCGAGCAAUCGGCCCGUGGGUUCGAAUCCCACCCUCUCCGCCA